UAUUCUGCCCUACGGGGAAGGAUGAGAAGGUUCGACUCGAGCGUAGCGAGAGAACGUUGCCGCAGGCAACGGCCCGAAGGGCGAGGCGCUUUAGCGCCGAGUUAUCCUUCCCCCACCACCA
RNAcentral lists this small RNA (121 nucleotides) under Klebsiella pneumoniae. RNAcentral's name for it is "RtT sRNA". It matches the Rfam family "RtT RNA". From Rfam's summary of the family: This family represents a bacterial cis-regulatory element known as RtT RNA. The exact function of RtT is unknown although it is thought that it may be involved in changing the cellular response in relation to amino acid starvation. RNAcentral also lists the same sequence under 6 other names. The record is from RNAcentral. Lineage: Bacteria; Pseudomonadati; Pseudomonadota; Gammaproteobacteria; Enterobacterales; Enterobacteriaceae.